GAUGAACGCUGGCGGCGUGCCUAAUACAUGCAAGUCGAGCGAACAGACGAGGAGCUUGCUCCUCUGACGUUAGCGGCGGACGGGUGAGUAACACGUGGAUAACCUACCUAUAAGACUGGGAUAACUUCGGGAAACCGGAGCUAAUACCGGAUAAUAUAUUGAACCGCAUGGUUCAAUAGUGAAAGACGGUUUUGCUGUCACUUAUAGAUGGAUCCGCGCCGCAUUAGAUAGUUGGUAAGGUAACGGCUUACCAAGGCAACGAUGCGUAGCCGACCUGAGAGGGUGAUCAGCCACACUGGAACUGAGACACGGUCCAGACUCCUACGGGAGGCAGCAGAAGGGAAUCUUACGCAAUGGGCGAAAGCUUGACGGAGCAACGCCACGUGAGUGAUGAAGGUCUUCGGAUCGUAAAACUCUGUUAUUAGGGAAGAACAAAUGUGUAAGUAACUAUGCACGUAUUGACGGUACCUAAUCAGAAAGCCACGGCUAACUACGUG
RNAcentral lists this ribosomal RNA (497 nucleotides) under uncultured bacterium. RNAcentral describes it as "partial 16S ribosomal RNA". It matches the Rfam family "Bacterial small subunit ribosomal RNA", at positions 28 to 507 of the family's 1533-position model. The record is from RNAcentral.